This 468-nucleotide ribosomal RNA is filed under the name uncultured bacterium. RNAcentral describes it as "partial 16S ribosomal RNA". It matches the Rfam family "Bacterial small subunit ribosomal RNA", at positions 28 to 507 of the family's 1533-position model. The record is from RNAcentral.
GACGAACGCUGGCGGCGUGCUUAACACAUGCAAGUCGAACGGAAAGGCCCUGCUUUUGUGGGGUGCUCGAGUGGCGAACGGGUGAGUAACACGUGAGUAACCUGCCCUUGACUUUGGGAUAACUUCAGGAAACUGGGGCUAAUACCGGAUAGGGGCUCCUGCUGCAUGGUGGGGGUUGGAAAGUUUCGGCGGUUGGGGAUGGACUCGCGGCUUAUCAGCUUGUUGGGGGGGUAGUGGCUUACCAAGGCUUUGACGGGUAGCCGGCCUGAGAGGGUGACCGGCCACAUUGGGACUGAGAUACGGCCCAGACGCCUACGGGAGGCAGCAGUGGGGAAUAUUGCACAAUGGGCGGAAGCCUGAUGCAGCAACGCCGCGUGCGGGAUGACGGCCUUCGGGUUGUAAACCGCUUUCGCCUGUGACGAAGCGUGAGUGACGGUAAUGGGUAAAGAAGCACCGGCUAACUACGUG